CCGCCCUUCUCCGUUGCCGACGCUAGCGAGUAGCGCGUAGCGCAUGCACCAAUUUCUAGACACGGCGCUCCCCUCGACUUCACAGUGAAGCAGAUCAUCGGCAUCGACAACGAGCCAGUGCGUUUGGCGUUGUCUCCUCUCUCUCGUGCAUGGACCAACUUGGAUGGAGGGCGGUGGAUCCGGGACGUGACCAUGAAGCAGCUCAUCCAGUGGCGGAGCGUAGUGGGGAUAAUUACGAGCCCUGGCCCCCCCCUUCCAAGAGGAAAAUUUACCAAAUACACUUACUUAUCUACUAAUUGCUCUACUAAUCGUCCGGCGUCUCUGAUCAUCCUAGCCUUUUCUAUGCCAUAUACACUCCUUUGGCCCCUUCUAAUAUUUGAUUCACGCUCCGCCACUGAGCUCAUCGGCAACGACGUGCGCCCGGGUCGAUCUGGACGGUGGGCGAUGGAUCCGGGAUGUAGCGGCUUCCUUGACUUCUUCCACGGCGGCGGCGGCCAGUGCACUUGGAUCACUUUGAAGCAAACUGUGCGCAUAGUACUGAACUGGGAGGUGCUGGGAGGCUGAUGCUUCAGAUGAAACUGGCAUCGAGGAGGAGCUUUUCGAAUCAAGGAAUAAAUGAAGAGUGGAACAUGACCCAAGUCACAGUGGAACAUGUCUUCUCAUCAUUUGUUCAGAAAUACGUAUAGUCGGACGAUUACUUUUGUGAGUUUGGUGGAAGGAAUUGCAUUUCUUACUGCGGUGAGUUUCCAAGAGGAUGGAAGCACCGAUGAGAAUUACAUUUGUUUUUGGCAGAUUAGGUGCGCGAACGAAUUGCUGGCACAUUUGCAUGUUAUAAUUUGAUCCCUUUGUUGAGAUAGAGUUUUUUCGUAUGUUAGUGAAA
Molecule: long non-coding RNA, 880 nt
Organism: Triticum aestivum (bread wheat)
Lineage: Eukaryota; Viridiplantae; Streptophyta; Magnoliopsida; Poales; Poaceae
Exons: 3
Source: RefSeq, a predicted model, not a curated record